Molecule: long non-coding RNA, 1245 nt
Organism: Rattus norvegicus (Norway rat)
Lineage: Eukaryota; Metazoa; Chordata; Mammalia; Rodentia; Muridae
Source: Ensembl
AUUUGGUUUAGGGGGGACAUUUCUAAGUGGGGAUUUCCAUGUUGAGUGUUUGUGAAGCUUUAGAGCACAGUAGCGACUUACCUGUAUGCCUGUCUGAGAGAGAGAACAUCAGGAAUGUUGUCAGUGAACCUGGAAGGGUUUCUUAGAGGGCUAGGCUGUUAUAGGCGACUCUUAAAGCAACAAGGGAUAAAAGUGUCUAAAAUGAGGACCAUAGUUGUGGCAGAGUCUUCAAAUGUUAGGUCUCCUCUUGAGAAUGCAAUUUAUGUUGGUCAUUGACUUCUUUUUUUUUCUUUUUUCUUUUUUUCAGAGCUGGGGACCGAACCCAGGGCCUUCCGCUUGCCAGGCAAGCGCUCUACCACUGAGCUAAAUCCCCAACCCCUGGUCAUUGACUUCUUAUCACAUAGGCAUGUGGGCAGCUGGUUGUAGAAUUCUCACCAUGAUCAUGGCCAUCUCCUUUUAUUGAAAGAAGUGAGCCUUUUGUCCCUAGGGCUCCCUUCUCUCCAUUCUCUUCUCCUUAUAUAAUGAUGGUGACCUUUUGGAGCCUCUGACAGACCAAGAAGACCUCCACAGGUUAUCUCAUUUACAAGGAUACAAGGUGGGCUCCUAGCUUAGGAGUUACUGGCAACUCCUAACUGCUGGGAGACUGAAAGUCCGUCUUCGUUAAGAGUACGAUUUCUGGUGGAUCGACCACACUCCAGUGGGAGGCAACCCAUCCAGACACAUACGGGCAGCACUAGUUGAACUCAGCGAGUUAAAGAGGAGAAAAGGGGAAUAGGAGGCACCAUCUCAGGUUACCCCCGCACCUGCCACAGUAUUAAAUGGAUACUGAACCAUACAUUUUCCUUUCAUCUGUCUAUGCCCUCAGCAAGACAGACAAAGUGUGCAAUUCAGGCUCGAAGGCUCGGAGAUCAGCAGAUGUACGUGGUUGCUCAAAAUCGAUGGAUACACCGGUUGUCCAAAAUUAGUCUCUAAGCAGGACCAGAGCCCAGAUAACCAUACUUGGGAACUAAAUUGUGAAAGGGAGGUCCAGGAAGGCUGUGACAAACACCCAGGCUUCAAAGUGCUGUCACCAGAAGCCAGCAUCGCUGUAAGGAGCAUACAGGAUGAUUUUUUUUAAACCCCCAAUAUUUCUUCCUUUCUAUAUACUUUUCACCAACCUGUAAUGCAAGUUUAAAGGAAAAAAAAUGGAAACCUCAAUUCCCCAAACUAAUAAAAAUUGUGUUUAGUACAUUCGGAUCUUAGUGG